GUCGAACGGGAUUUAGUAAACAGAAGCCUCGGCGGAAGAUUACUAAUGAGAGUGGCGAACGGGUGAGUAACGCGUGAGCAACCUGCCUAUGACAGUGGGAUAGCCUCGGGAAACCGGGAUUAAUACCGCAUAAAAUCGUAGAAACACAUGUUUUAACGGUCAAAGAUUUAUCGGUCAUAGAUGGGCUCGCGUCUGAUUAGCUAGUUGGUGAGAUAACAGCCCACCAAGGCGACGAUCAGUAGCCGGUCUGAGAGGAUGAACGGCCACAUUGGAACUGAGACACGGUCCAAACUCCUACGGGAGGCAGCAGUGGGGAAUAUUGCACAAUGGGGGAAACCCUGAUGCAGCGACGCCGCGUGAACGAAGAAGGUAUUCGUAUCGUAAAGUUCUGUCCUAUGGGAAGAUAAUGACAGUACCAUAGAAGAAAGCUCCGGCUAAAUACGUGCCAGCAGCCGCGGUAAUACGUAUGGAGCGAGCGUUGUCCGGAAUUAUUGGGCGUAAAGGGUACGCAGGCGGUUUAAUAAGUCGAAUGUUAAAGAUCGGGGCUCAACCCCGUAAAGCAUUGGAAACUGAUAAACUUGAGUAGUGGAGAGGAAAGUGGAAUUUCUAGUGUAGUGGUGAAAUACGUAGAUAUUAGGAGGAAUACCAGUAGCGAAGGCGACUUUCUGGACACAAACUGACGCUGAGGUACGAAAGCGUGGGGAGCAA
Molecule: ribosomal RNA, 708 nt
Filed under: uncultured Eubacteriales bacterium
Lineage: Bacteria; Bacillati; Bacillota; Clostridia; Eubacteriales
Description: bacterial SSU rRNA
Rfam family: Bacterial small subunit ribosomal RNA
Source: RNAcentral